This 4505-nucleotide long non-coding RNA is filed under the name Homo sapiens (human). RNAcentral describes it as "non-protein coding lnc-ZNF449-3:5". The record is from RNAcentral. Lineage: Eukaryota; Metazoa; Chordata; Mammalia; Primates; Hominidae.
CAGAAACUACCUGGGCUCGGCCGACCUGUUGCCUCAUAUUGGCCAAAGAGGGGGAAACCAGAAGGAGGGAAUUCUGCUGCGGCGACUUGACUUUCCAGGCCCGGAGCAGAAAGGUGCAUUGGCAUUUGUAGGCGGUGACCCGCCCCUUCUCUGGCCUUGCCAAGAGUCACAUCCCUGCCCAGGGGCACCUCUGGCCCUGGAACUUGCCUGGGCAGAGGCAGCGUGAAGGGCCUGAACAAGAGGAGAAGAAGGGCCUUCCUAGUAGAGGCACAGCAUGGACAAAGGCUCACAGGGGUGGGGGUGCCCAGUGAUCGAGUCCUGGCUUGGGAAGGAAGGUCUGAGUUCCCUGGGAACUGAAAUCUGCUAGCAGCACUGUGAGAGAGGUGUAUUUCCCCCUCCUAAUGACAGAGGAAACUGAGGCUUCAGGGAGGGGUGGAUUUGCCCUUGACAUGCAGAUAGGAGGAGGAGGAACUGCGUGUGCCCCUGGGCCUGCAGGCCCCCACACCCCUCCCCAGUCUUCUUCAAGACCUGGCAUGGUGGGAGGAGGGAGGGGGAAGUGGAGAGGGGAGCAUAGGGCUCCUGGGGCACCAAGGGAGAGAGGGGCCCAGGGGUAGGGAAUCUAGGAAUGUCGCUUUCCUUGGAGCAGUACGGAAAGUCACAGGGAAGAUCAGGAGGACGGACAGCUGAGAUGGGAGACAGGAGAGAUGAGCCCCAGGACCCCUGGGGAGCCAAGCUGUCCCCCACAUCCUAGCCUCUCACCCCACCUGGAGCUUCACCAAGGGCUCCUCAGCAGUGAAGUGGCACAAGCCUCCCAGUUUGGUGGGCAAGUGGGGGUGAUCUUGGUGUUGUGGCUCCUGGAGACACGACAUAACCAGGAGGGUGAAGGGAUAAACCUGGGGUGGGCUGGGGCUGAGACCCAUGGCAUGACCCCAAUUCUCUCUCCUCAAGCUCGACCCCCCAUCCCCAGGAUCACACAGGAGAAUCUCAUCCUCACGGCUUGGAUUGCUCCUGGGGGCCCCCUGGUGUGCUGCUAACUGGUGUACAAUGCUCAGGAGCAGCCCAGAGGGGAGCCGGGAAGGGACCCUCGCCCUUACCAUCUAUCCCCAUUUCCGCAUCUCUUGCACUGGUACCCCGGGCGCCACGUUCUCAGUUCCUGGGACUGAAAACUGCAGCAGUCUGGCCAGCUCCAGGGACAGAGUGGCCCAGCCACCUACUAUGUACCCUCCUCAGCUGCCCACUGGACUCAGGUCCUGAAUGAAGCUGUCCGCCUGCCUCAUGCCAGAAGCGGCUGGACAGUGGCUGCCUCAUGACCCUUGCAGUCUCCCACAUCCAGGGCCUGAUGACAUGCCCCCUUGUCCCAAGUUUCUUGGGAACCCCUGACCCUGCUGGCCCCUCUCAUCCACCCCAACCCUAUCCACCCUGGACCACCUCUGGGGGUCUGUCAGCCUGCUGGUCCCCCCAACAGAUCUUUGGGGGCAGCCUCUAUGGGACAAGAGUGACACAGGGCUGGAGAAGAGGAGUGAGGAGCCUCCUUGUGUCUGAUGCACAGAUGUGGCCCUUUCAAACCCUGGUGUCACCCUCUGGGUGACUGGAUCCCCAGCUCCAGCCUCUUCCUGGGCCAGCCAGGAAGGCUGGAGGAAAGCUCUUUGCUGAGUGCAUGCAUGGGAGUGUGGGGGGUGACUGAGCCCUCCCCAUGCAAGGGGCUUGGCCUGGGACCCUGGAAGCUGUUUCCCUACUGGGAUAAAGUUGCGUCAGCCGCAGGGGUCUCUGCCCUCAAAGACCCCCCACUGCAGGGAGCCCCACCCCAUAAGAGGGUCACGGAAGUCCAUGUCCGCCCACCCCCAGUGGCUUCUGGUGUGGCCGUAUUGGCCUAGAGGGGCUGACUGGGGAGGGUCAGGGCCAAGCCCUCAGCAUCUGCUCCUGUCCCUGCUUUUUCACCCCUGCUGCCUGAAGUGGUAGCCCCGCCUGCUGCUUCUCCACCUCCCCUCCCCACCUCUUCUCUCCCAGAUGGGGCCCUUGCUGCGUGACGGGGUCUCCAUGCGCUUUAUUUAUUUGCAGUCUGUUUUCUAGGCGGUGGAGCUAGACACUGACCGGAAUGACAUACUUUUCUGUGUGUGAUUCACUGUGUACUGGUCAGCACAGGCUGGCCAGAGAGCUGUUCUUGUUUCUGGUGUUGUCACGUCUUCUUGUUUUCUCUAAGUUUAAAAAAAAGUCCUUGGUUUAAUACACUAAAAUCCCAACUGGAGGCCUCCCGUGUCUGGUGGGGGUGAUGCAGUGGCCCCGGGUGGAGAGGCCCCAUGGUGAGGUCACCAGCUCCCAUGGCCAGGAGUUGGCAGGGAGAAGCCUCUGAGGGCUAGGGCUGGGGGAGGCUGUGGCAGGGACCGUGUUUCCUGUUCAGAGGCUGUGCUGAGAACCGACUUGACCUGGACCACUGCCCCAUGAGAAGCAGGCAGCAUCCUAGCCUGGCCCCGAGAGGUAGCUGCUUGUUCUGUUGACAACCUUUGUUCAACGACCCAAAACAUAAGUCCCUUUCCUUUUUAGAGUCUGGCGAUCAAAAGUGUCUUAAGUCAGUAGAAUCCUGAGGGUGGACUAGGGUGAAGUGAACUGAAACAGACUCGACACAGGUCAUUUUGUGUAGCACUGAGACUCCUCUCCCUGCCUGAGGCCACCUCCCACUGCCUCCCUACCAGCAAGGUUACUGCAGAAUCUUGGAGAAGAUAAAGGACCUGGCCCUGGAAGCCUGCUUCCCUUUCCCAACCUUGGAAGCAAAUUCUGUCCCAUCAGAGCCCCCCUCCCUAGUGGCUCCCACCAGAGACCUCCCUAGUGGCUGCUGUAAGGGUUGGCAAGCAGGCAAAAGGCGGGGGAGGGAGGGCAGAGGGUAGUGUUAGAGGAAGCCCCAUAGGGCCCCUGGGUGGGGGUGGGGAGGCAUCCUGAGGACACAGGGCUAUGCUCAGACUUAGGAGUGAAGACUGGGUUUAGGGGCCCUGGGGGCACUCCUGUUGCCAAGGGCUACCCAGGGGUCAGAGCAUCCUGACAAGGAGGACCCGUCCAAACGCACUGGUGCUAAUGCCCUAUGGCAUCUGCCACCACAGGAGAAAUGGACCCCAGUCCUUGAUCUUCCCUCCCCUUUGUCUAGAUGGUCCUCUUUAUCCCCACUCCAGGGAUCACAUGACUUGGCAAAGCAAGAUGGGAAAUGAUCCUCCCAGAGCCUGGCUCCAAGGCUUCUUGAAGAGGGAGGAUCACCCCUCCCAUCCCUGCUACAGAGGAAAAGGCAGGAAGGCCGGUUCUGCUCCGAUGGGACUCCAGGAGACCAAAGCCCUGAGCCCUGAGCCCAGCUCUUCCACUUACUACUGUGUGGUGCCAGGCAAGCUGUGCACAACCUGGAGUUUUUAGUAAGGUUCCGUUGGGAUGCUUGUAAGCAGUGAAUACGAUGAUGUCUGUUCAUUGUUUGUCAUCAGGUCUCACCUGGAGCAGCCUUGUUACUGUGGGGAAAAGGAACCAAGUGAAGGGAAUCGGCCUCUGAUGAGAGCCUGCCAUGUGCCAGGCACCAUACUAGGUGCUUUGCAUUCCUAAUCUCAUCAUUAUCACACAACCACCUAACCAUUAUCCCUGUUUUACAGAGAAACCAAAGACAGGAACCAAGUCUGAAACAGAGCCCCAAGAAGAAGCUCUUUUCCUGAGCUACCAGUGCCCCUUGGAGAGGCAGGGAAUUGGGCUGGAAGAAUGGUGGAAUGGAAUAGCAAAGAUGGAAGAUGACCCUGUCCUUUCUGGGUGAGGUCCAGAAGAAAUCCAGGGCUUGGAUGAGGGGUAGACCUGAGAGCCUUCUCCAAAUGGAACUCCCCAGUGGGAGCAGCUGUGGCCACCCUGAGAUGGGUCUACCUGUCUUCCUUCCAUUCCACCUCCAGAGAUUGAUUGGGACCUAAGAGACUGAGUCAGGAGAGGGCAAGAAAGCAGCUAAGUGGGAAGUUUCAGGGGCACUAGAGCAAAUACAUUGAGAAAUGGGAAAUACAAACAGCAUGCAAAAUCACAUCCUACUCCUACCCACCCCACUCCCAAGGGAAAUUGCUGGGUUUUGGACGAAUUUUCACUUUGUGUGCACCUUUUAUGUAUGUAAAACUACAAACAUACUACUUUGAAAUCUGAUUCCGCUAUUUCAUGUUUGUCUUACCAUGUUAUUAUGUAUUUUCCUACAUCCAAAGCUACCUAGUAUCUCUUUUGUAUGAAGGUUUCAUCAUGUAUCCCCCAGUGCCCUUUGGUUGUUUUUCUUUGUUGUCAUUUAUUUUGGUGGGGGUUGGUUUGCUUUUUGUUGUUGUUUUUCCUUGUUUUUAUAAAUGAUACAGUGACAGAUGCCGUUGUGGAUAAAUGCUGUGGCAUAGUCAUCAAUUCCUUGAUAUAUAUUCCUAGAAAGUGCACCAAAGGGUAUGCAUGGCUUAGGGCUUUUGAUACUCUCCAGAGUUGGGAUACCAAGUCACACUACUCACUGGAGUCAGGAUGAGAGUUUUUUG